AUGUAUUGCGAAGAUGAGGAAGAAGAGGUUGACAUUGCGGAGGAGCCAUUGUUUAUCGAUGAGCUGGCCCAAAGAGCCGAGGCACAAAGGAGGAAGCAAAGCAUUCGCACAGGAUCAUACAACAAAGAAGAGGGCACGUUGAUUUGCGAGAGUUGGAUGGAGAUAGGCCAAGAUCCCAAGACCGGUGCCGAGCAAAAAGGAUCCGUCUUUUCGACGAGAGUUCAUAAAACCUUUCACGAACGGAGGAAGUUUGCGCCCUACAAGCUUGCGAGCAACCGUGGCAUCAACUCAAUCCAAAAGAGAUGGGGUUUCAUUCAACAAGAAUGCAAUAAGUAUUGUGCCGAUCUUGAGAGCAUUGAAGCCCGUCCCGUGAGUGGCCUAGGCGCGGUGACUUGA
Molecule: ribosomal RNA, 396 nt
Filed under: Triticum aestivum (bread wheat)
Lineage: Eukaryota; Viridiplantae; Streptophyta; Magnoliopsida; Poales; Poaceae
Description: partial small subunit ribosomal RNA
Source: RNAcentral